RNAcentral lists this long non-coding RNA (1949 nucleotides) under Lytechinus variegatus (green sea urchin). RNAcentral's name for it is "uncharacterized LOC121407703". Lineage: Eukaryota; Metazoa; Echinodermata; Echinoidea; Temnopleuroida; Toxopneustidae. The record is from RNAcentral.
CUCUUUUGAGAAUACGGGCCUUUAAGGUUUGUCAAAGCCUUGAAAACUUUUGGUCUAAUGUUACAUCAGAAAUAGAGGAAUGGUAUUAGGUUAUAACUUAUCAAUGCAGUGAGGGAUCACAUUUGCCAAAACUAAUCCUGUUUAUUAUUCAUAUAGUGACAGCAGAAACUGAAUCGGAUGUUUGUGCUUGGAAAGAAGGCCUUAUCCCAACCUUAAAAAUAGAACAGAGAAAGAGUAGGGAGGCGAAUGAAUCAUGCAUUAAACACAAACAAAACAUGACUUUUUUUAUCACAUAUAUAAUUCAUUUAUUAAUAUAUAUAAUAUAAUUCUGAUAGUUACCUAACACAUCUGACUUUUUUUCAAUGUAUAUCCAUAUACUGUACCAAAUGUCAACACAAAUUUAAUUGACAAGUACUGACCAUUCUCUAUAACCUAUAACAGAUAUAUCACAUAAUACAAGCCUUGCUAUUUUUUCUUUCUUUUUUGGUUUGAUGUUUUUUUCAUAACAAUUUGGUCACUAUUGAAAUGACUUACAUUACAUGUAAAAUGAAACCAAAUAAUACAAGAGUUUAUAAACAAGGAGGAAAGGAUGAAAAUCUCACCAAAUAUAAUCAUUUACAAGCCUUACAAUGUGGUGUAGCAAAAUUUGUUAAUCUAUGCUAGCACCAAAAUAUUGAUCGAAAUAUAUUUAACGACCGUCAUUGAUAUUGCAGAGGUGAAAAACUGUUACUGAAGAAAGAAAGAAAUUCUACCCAUCAAAAUCUCUGAAAAAAUCCAUUAUGCUGUAGAAUAUCUAGAGCCCAGGUUAGAUUUACUUCAUAGUCAAUUCCUUUCUUUUUCAAAGAAAAUAAUUUUAGAAUGAUAAUUCUUUCCAAAAUAUGAUUCAUAUAUUGAAAAGAAAGUCUAACUGAUCUUUAUAACCAGUCGUAGUUAGGCUAAUAUAUAUAUAUAUUCUUAAUAAUUUUUAUCAAGGAUUCAGCGAGUGUCUCUAAAAGUUGUGAAUCUAGAUGAAACCAAGUCAAAUAUGUUUCCAAUCACAAUUUUAUAAAGACCUUGGCAAUCAAAAUUGUUUUUGCAUUAAUCAUUACACAAGAGAGAAUGAAGGAAAAUAAAUAUGGGGAUGCUAUCACAUGUCAAUAUUUAGAAUAUGUAGUUUACAGAAUUUACUUAAACUAAAAUGAAAAUGCACAACAUAGUAAAUACAGUACCACAUCAUAAUAUACAUUUAAAUGUAUUUCAUUUUUUUCAUUCUGUUCACCCUACAAGCUGGCAAACAAUAUACGUAAACAUUUAUAUUGGAUUACAUCUUACAUAAAAUUGCACAUGUGAGUUAAAAAAUGAAGAUUGAAAAAUCAAACCAAAUUAAAUAUCUGCUAAUCAUCUUUGAAGUUAACCAAUAAUAAUAUUUCAUCACUUUGGACAGUCAAAUUCAUGAACUCAUUAUGGGAGGUGAAAUCAUUCAUGUAAUUAUAAUCAACAAAAUCUAAAUAAUUGGAUCAGUAGGUAGUUCCUAACUUUGUUUGAAACAAUGGGAUCACUAGCUGACUAUUGUAUGAACUAAGGAGGCAAUUAGAUAUUAUUGUAUAUGAUUAUUUGGAGUAUAACAAUGAAUAAAGUGUGGGGGGGCUAUGGACACAUUUAUCAACUAUGAAAUUACACAAGUAUUGACUAAUAUCCAAUACAUUGUUGAAAUGCAGUUGAAUAGUAAAUACAGGAAAACAAAUAAAUGUAAAAACUGAAUAUUUCUUCUGUCAUGAAAUGCCUACUUCAGUAUUCUACAUGUUUUUGUUGUCGGUCAAGACCCUUCAUUUCAAUGCCAAGAAAUACAAUGAACAUAAAAUAUAUAGCAUAUACUUUAAUCAUUUCAUCUUUCUCUCUUUUUUAAUAAUCUAUCCACUAUUAAACUAACAUGAUUGCUUAUUUUUAUAAACAAUGGAUAUCUUUGACAU